AAGGAUCAUUAAAGAGUAAGGGUCUUCUGGCCCGACCUCCAACCCUAUGUAUAUCUACCUCUGUUGCUUUGGCGGGCCCGCUGGGGAGACCCACCGCCGGCUGAGGCUGGUGAGCGCCCGUCAGAGACCACCUAAACUCUGUUUUAUCAGUGAUGUCUGAGUGUCAUAUAAUAGUUAAAACUUUCAACAACGGAUCUCUUGGUUCUGGCAUCGAUGAAGAACGCAGCGAAAUGCGAUAAGUAAUGUGAAUUGCAGAAUUCAGUGAAUCAUCGAAUCUUUGAACGCACAUUGCGCCCCUCGGUAUUCCGAGGGGCAUGCCUGUUCGAGCGUCAUUACACCACUCAAGCUCGGCUUGGUAAUGGGUGCUCGCCCCUAGGGGCGCGCCCGAAAGUCAGUGGCGGUGCCGCCUGGCCUCAAGCGUAGUAAUCAUCUUUUUCGCUUUGGAGGUUAGGUGUGUUGCUUGCCAUUCAAUCCCCCAAUUUCAAAGGUUGACCUCGGAUCAGGUAGGGAUACCCGCUGAACUUAA
Molecule: ribosomal RNA, 526 nt
Filed under: Candelariella aurella
Lineage: Eukaryota; Fungi; Ascomycota; Candelariomycetes; Candelariales; Candelariaceae
Description: eukaryotic LSU rRNA
Rfam family: 5.8S ribosomal RNA (bases 179-332)
Source: RNAcentral